RNAcentral lists this ribosomal RNA (1473 nucleotides) under uncultured Bordetella sp. RNAcentral's name for it is "partial 16S-23S ribosomal RNA intergenic spacer". It matches the Rfam family "Bacterial small subunit ribosomal RNA". The record is from RNAcentral. Lineage: Bacteria; Pseudomonadati; Pseudomonadota; Betaproteobacteria; Burkholderiales; Alcaligenaceae.
UUCGAUCAUGGCUCAGAUUGAACGCUGGCGGGAUGCUUUACAUACAGAGUCGAACGGCAGCACGGACUUCGGUCUGGUGGCGAGUGGCGAACGGGUGAGUAAUGUAUCGGAACGUGCCUAGUAGCGGGGAUAACUACGCGAAAGCGUAGCUAAUACCGCAUACGCCCUUCGGGGGAAAGCGGGGGACCUUCCGGGCCUCGCACUAUUAGAGCGGCCGAUAUCGGAUUAGCUAGUUGGUGGGACAACGGCUCACCAAGGCGACGAUCCGUAGCUGGUUUGAGAGGACGACCAGCCACACUGGGACUGAGACACAAGCAGACUCCUGCGGGGAGGCAGCAGUGGGAAUUUUGGACAAUGGAAGCCUGAUCCAACCAUCCCGCGUGUACGAUAGCGCCUUCAGGUUGUAAAGCACUUUUGGCGGGAAAGAAACGGCACGAGGAUAUACAUUAGCUGACGUACCUGCAGAAUAAGCGCAAGUAACUACGUGCCAGCAACCGCGGUAAUACGUAGAGUGCAAGCGUUAAUCGGAAUUACUGGGCGUAAGCGUGCGCAGGCGGUUCGGAAAGAAAGAUGUGAAAUCCCAGAGCUUAACUUUGGAACUGCAUUUUUUAACUACCGAGCUAGAGUGUGUCAGAGGGAGGUGGAAUUCCGCGUCAACGGUAAUGCGUAGAUGGCGGAGGAACACCGAUGGCGAAGGCAACUUCCUGGGAUGCUGCUGACGCUCAUGCACGAAAGCGUGGGGAGCAAACAGGAUUGAAUACCCUGUUGGUCCCGCCCUAAACGAUGUCAAUAGCUGUUGGAGCCUUCGGGCCUUGGUAGCGCAACUAACGCGUGAAGUUGACCGCGCCUGGGAAAUACCCGGUCGCAAGAUUAAAACUUCCAAAAGAUUGACGGGGACCCGCACAGCGGUGGAUGAUGUGGAUUAAUUCGAUACAGCUUAUGAAAAACCUUACCUACCUUGACAUGUGCUCAUGGAAUCCCGAAGAGAUUUGGGAGUGCUCGCAAGAGAACCGGAACACAGGUGCUGCAUGGCUGUCAUCCAGCUCUGAUGUCGUGAGAUGUUGGGUUAAGUCCCGCAGCGACGCAACCCUUGUCGUGGUUGCUACGAAGGGCAUCUAAUGAGACUGCCAGUGACUGGAAGCCGGAGGAGGUGGGAUGACGUCAGGCCUCAUAGCCCUUAUGGGUAGGGCUUCACACGUCAUACAAUGGUCGGGACAGAGGGUCGCCAGCCGCGAGGGGGAGCCAAUCCAGAAGCCCGAUCGUAGUCCGGAUCGCAGUCUGCAACUCAAACUGCGUGAAGUCGGAAUCGCUAGUAAUCGCGGAUCAGCAUGUCGCGGUGAAUACGUUCCACAGGUCUUGUACACACCGCCCGGCGUCCACCAUGGGAGUGGGUUUUACCGAAGUAGUUAGCCUAACCGUAAGGAGGGCGAUUACCACGGUAGGAUUCGCGGCUGGGGUGAGUCAACAAAACAG